Molecule: transfer RNA, 72 nt
Filed under: Camelus bactrianus (Bactrian camel)
Lineage: Eukaryota; Metazoa; Chordata; Mammalia; Artiodactyla; Camelidae
Also listed under: 2 other names
Rfam family: tRNA
About the family: Transfer RNA (tRNA) molecules are approximately 80 nucleotides in length.
Source: Rfam by way of RNAcentral
GAGGGUAUAGCUCAAGUGGUAGAGUGCAGGCUCGUAUGCAUGAGGUCCUGGGUUCAAUCCCCAGUACCUCCU